RNAcentral lists this long non-coding RNA (234 nucleotides) under Elaeis guineensis (African oil palm). RNAcentral describes it as "long non-coding RNA (EGUI_LNC030272)". The record is from RNAcentral. Lineage: Eukaryota; Viridiplantae; Streptophyta; Magnoliopsida; Arecales; Arecaceae.
UUGUCCAUACAAAGAAGUAUGCAUUCAAGCAAAGAAUACAAAAAUAGGUAUAUUUAAUGAUAUAGCCAACAUCUAUCAUUUUAGAAUUAAUGUCCUUCUUCAUGCUCUGAACGAUAAAGAAUAGAAAAAUUAUAGAGAUAUCCUUCAGAUUUGGUCCAUUUAUACUUAGAUCUCAAAAGUUUAAAAGUAUCAAUUAGUCAUAAAAAAAACAUCAAAUUUAUUGCAAUGCAUCCC